RNAcentral lists this unclassified non-coding RNA (980 nucleotides) under Hevea brasiliensis (rubber tree). Lineage: Eukaryota; Viridiplantae; Streptophyta; Magnoliopsida; Malpighiales; Euphorbiaceae. The record is from RNAcentral.
GUGGAAGUUCUCAAGCUGUGGGAUGUGGAAACAGGUACAUGCAAGCAUACAUUUGGGGAUCAUGGCUUCAUUGUCAGUUCAUGUGCUUGGUUUCCCGACUCAAAGCGAUUUGUCUGUGGCAGUUCCGACCCCGAAAAGGGCAUCUGCAUGUGGGACUGUGAUGGGAACGAGAUAAAAGCUUGGAGGGGCACAAGGAUGCCUAAGGUUUUGGAUCUUGCUGUGACGCCAGAUGGAGAACAUCUUAUCAGUGUAUUUUCUGAUAAGGACAUUCGGAUAUUCAAUUUGGUAACCAGUGCUGAACGAGUCAUCUCUGAGGAGCACCCAAUCACCUCCCUGUCAGUUUCCACUGACGGCAAGUUCUUUAUCGUCAAUCUUAACAGCGAAGAGAUCCAUAUGUGGGAUGUUGCUGGAAAAUGGAAGAAGGCAUUAACAUAUGUGGGCCACAAACAACGCAAGUAUGUCAUACGUUCAUGCUUUGGUGGUUUGAAUAACUCAUUUAUUGCCAGUGGCAGUGAGAGUUCACAGGUCUAUAUCUGGAAUUGGCGAAACCCUAAGCCAAUAGAGGUUUUAUCUGGCCAUUUAAUGACAGUGAACUGUGUGAGCUGGAAUCCUAGAAGGCAUCAAAUGCUGGCAUCAGCAAGUGAUGAUCAUACAAUCCGUAUAUGGGGGCCAAGCCAAUCCAAGAAUAUACAGCAUGAGAAGCUCAUUUGAAGGAAAAAAAAAAAAAAAAAUCAGCCUUUGAGCCUUGCAUGUAUAGCUUAUAUUCUCAUCAAUUUGUUAUUCUUUUGUAAGUUUUGUAAAUUGGUGGCAUCCUGUUGUCCCUUCUCAAAUUUGGCGCACAUUAUCCCCUGUAAAUCUCCAUUCCUUCUAGGUGUCUGGCAGGUUUUAGUUUCCACUAAGAGGUGUUGAGAAGGUAGGUCGUAAGUCUAAUAAAUAUUCUAGAACAGCUGGGAUUUGAUAUUGUUGCAUUUGUAUGCUAU